UACGUAGGUGGCAAGCGUUGUCCGGAUUUACUGGGCGUAAAGAGCGCGCAGGCGGUCGUUCAAGUCGCGUGUGAAAGCCCCCGGCUCAACUGGGGAGGGUCACGCGAUACUGAUCGACUCGAAGGCAGGAGAGGGAAGUGGAAUUCCCGGUGUAGUGGUGGAAUGCGUAGAUAUCGGGAGGAACACCGGUGGCGAAGGCGGCAUCCUGGACCGGCAUUGACGCUGAGGCGCGAAAGCUAGGGGAGCAAACGGG
Molecule: ribosomal RNA, 253 nt
Filed under: uncultured bacterium
Lineage: Bacteria
Description: partial 16S ribosomal RNA
Rfam family: Bacterial small subunit ribosomal RNA
Source: RNAcentral